CCUACGGGUGGCAGCAGUGAGGAAUAUUGGUCAAUGGCCGAGAGUCUGAACCAGCCAAGUAGCGUGAAGGAUGACUGCCCUAUGGGUUGUAAACCUCUUUUAUCUGGGAGUAAAAUGUUCCACGUGUGGCAUUUUGUGUGUACCAUAUGAAUAAGGAUCGGCUAACUCCGUGCCAGCAGCCGCGGUAAUACGGAGGCUCCGAGCGUUAUCGGGAUUUAUUGGGUUUAAAGGGUGCGAAGGAGGAUUGUAAAGUCAGUGGUAAAAUUUGGGGGCUCAACCCAAGAGUGCAGUUGAAACUGGCGGUCGUGAGUGCAGUAGAGGUGGGCGGAAUUCGUGGUGUAGCGGUGAAAUGCUUAGAGAUCACGAAGAACUCCGAUUGCGAAGGCAGUACACUGGACUGCAACUGACGCUGAGGCUCGAAAGUGUGGGUAUCAAACAGGAUUAGAUACCCGAGUAGUC
RNAcentral lists this ribosomal RNA (459 nucleotides) under uncultured bacterium. RNAcentral's name for it is "partial 16S ribosomal RNA". It matches the Rfam family "Bacterial small subunit ribosomal RNA", at positions 338 to 795 of the family's 1533-position model. The record is from RNAcentral.